RNAcentral lists this ribosomal RNA (289 nucleotides) under Triticum aestivum (bread wheat). Its description in RNAcentral is "partial small subunit ribosomal RNA". Lineage: Eukaryota; Viridiplantae; Streptophyta; Magnoliopsida; Poales; Poaceae. The record is from RNAcentral.
GUGCAUUUUUCCAUGCCAUGUAUCUUUAAACCGUACAUGCAUCAUACUUGUUUGCGCAUCGUGCCAUGCUUAUGUGAUGAUUAUUUACUAUGUUGUUUGCUUUCUUUCCGGUGUAGUUCUUCUCGUUGAUCCGGUAACGUUGCGUUUGUGAGGAUAUGUUGGCUACGUCCGUUUGUCUUCUUCAUGGACUUGUUCUUCUUCCUUGCGCGAUCUCAGGAAAGAUGACCAUACCCUCGAAAUCACUUCUAUCUUUGCUUGCUAGUUGCUCGCUCUUUUGCUAUGCCUAUGC